RNAcentral lists this ribosomal RNA (346 nucleotides) under Clostridium botulinum. RNAcentral's name for it is "bacterial SSU rRNA". It matches the Rfam family "Bacterial small subunit ribosomal RNA", at positions 1 to 343 of the family's 1533-position model. Lineage: Bacteria; Bacillati; Bacillota; Clostridia; Eubacteriales; Clostridiaceae. The record is from RNAcentral.
UUUUAAAUUUAGAGUUUGAUCCUGGCUCAGGACGAACGCUGGCGGCGUGCUUAACACAUGCAAGUCGAGCGAUGAAGCUUCCUUCGGGAAGUGGAUUAGCGGCGGACGGGUGAGUAACACGUGGGUAACCUGCCUCAAAGUGGGGGAUAGCCUUCCGAAAGGAAGAUUAAUACCGCAUAAUAUAAGAGAAUCGCAUGAUUUUUUUAUCAAAGAUUUAUUGCUUUGAGAUGGACCCGCGGCGCAUUAGCUAGUUGGUAAGGUAACGGCUUACCAAGGCAACGAUGCGUAGCCGACCUGAGAGGGUGAUCGGCCACAUUGGAACUGAGACACGGUCCAGACUCCUACG